UACGGAGGGAGCUAGCGUUGUCCGGAAUUACUGGGCGUAAAGCGCACGUAGGCGGCUUUGUAAGUUAGAGGUGAAAGCCCGGGGCUCAACUCCGGAAUUGCCUUUAAGACUGCAUCGCUCGAAUUGUGGAGAGGUAAGUGGAAUUCCGAGUGUAGAGGUGAAAUUCGUAGAUAUUCGGAAGAACACCAGUGGCGAAGGCGACUUACUGGACACAUAUUGACGCUGAGGUGCGAAAGCGUGGGGAGCGAACAGG
Molecule: ribosomal RNA, 253 nt
Filed under: uncultured bacterium
Lineage: Bacteria
Description: partial 16S ribosomal RNA
Rfam family: Bacterial small subunit ribosomal RNA
Source: RNAcentral